Schizophyllum commune H4-8 is the source of this 114-nucleotide non-coding RNA. NCBI's taxonomy places the organism in Eukaryota, Fungi, Basidiomycota, Agaricomycetes, Agaricales, Schizophyllaceae. The record is from Rfam.
GCCGCCGUAGCCUAAUGGUCAUGGCGUCGCUUUCCUACGCGCGCUUCGUUUACGUUCUGGCCCUUAUGCUAGGAAUUUAGGCGGAGGUUGCGGGUUCGAGUCCCGCCGGUGGUU